GCGGAAGUGGCGGAAUUGGUAGACGCGCAGGAUUUAGGUUCCUGUGGGGUAAUCCCCUUGAGAGUUCGAAUCUCUCCUUUCGCACCA
This 87-nucleotide transfer RNA is filed under the name Gammaproteobacteria bacterium. Its description in RNAcentral is "tRNA-Leu". It matches the Rfam family "tRNA". Rfam says of the family: Transfer RNA (tRNA) molecules are approximately 80 nucleotides in length. Their secondary structure includes four short double-helical elements and three loops (D, anti-codon, and T loops). The record is from RNAcentral. Lineage: Bacteria; Pseudomonadati; Pseudomonadota; Gammaproteobacteria. RNAcentral also lists the same sequence under 2 other names.